CCUACGGGAGACAGCAGUGAGGAAUAUUGGUCAAUGGGCGCGAGCCUGAACCAGCCAAGUAGCGUGAAGGAUGACUGCCCUAUGGGUUGUAAACUUCUUUUAUAUGGGAGUAAAAUGCUCCACGUGUAGUGUUUUGCAUGUACCCUAUGAAUAAGGAUCGGCUAACUCCGUGCCAGCAGCCGCGGUAAUACGGAGGAUCCGAGCGUUAUCCGGAUUUAUUGGGUUUAAAGGGAGCGUAGGCGGGUUGUUAAGUCAGUUGUGAAAGUUUGCGGCUCAACCGUAAAAUUGCAGUUGAAACUGGUAUUCUUGAGUACAGUAGAGGUAGGCGGAAUUCGUGGUGUAGCGGUGAAAUGCUUAGAUAUCACGAAGAACUCCGAUUGCGAAGGCAGCCUACUGGACUGCAACUGACGCUGAUGCUCGAAAGUGUGGGUAUCAAACAGGAUUAGAUACCCGGGUAGUC
Molecule: ribosomal RNA, 460 nt
Filed under: uncultured bacterium
Lineage: Bacteria
Description: partial 16S ribosomal RNA
Rfam family: Bacterial small subunit ribosomal RNA
Source: RNAcentral